CCACCAGCCCCUUCCCACACCGCCACCCCUCUCUUCCGCUUGCGCGUUCUUUCCCCGCCCGCACCUCCGACAUGGUUUCAUGGCCGCCGCCUGGCCCGCCUAUGGAAACCGGCACCAUCACGCGGCCAAAUCUUUGACGCCACCAUGCAUGGUCAAGGGGCAGGAAGCAGGUUAACACGACUAAAUUCAUUGCCGCGGGAGCUGCCAAGGGCGGCGGAUCAUCGUCUUCGGCGCCAGGGGCCAGCGACGGUCACGCACGACGACGUGUCUGCGAUGGCGGAUGGCGGUCAAGCCAGCGGGAUGGGAGACGACGAGCAGCAGAAACAGUCUUGCUCCGUCGGGCAUCGGCGCGCACCGGCCAUAGGUGACCAACACCUGCUCGAGGGAGGACGCAGCCCCGCCCCCAAGCACUUCAUUCGGAAGAAACGGCAACCAUGGCCGAUCCCAAAGCUCGCCAGAGCAACAUCGUCCUCCAGAGGUUCCUCUCGUUCGUCUAUGGCCCAUGGCUCCUCGGCUUCGGAUUGGGUAAGGGAUGUCAGGGCGGAGGACGCUUGUCAACCCAAGCGCAUGCACGGUGUCGAGAUCUUCAGGACCAGGGACGCGAGCCACGCCCGCGCUCAGCCGCCUUGGAGCCUCGUGCGGCGCAUCAUCGUUAUCAGCUGAGGCGCCUGGACAUCCCGCGGGAGGAUCUACGACCUCCUCGUCGUUCUUGCGCUUCUCUGGUGCUCAACGUAUUGUCAUGCGUGAUGUUUUACAUCAUCGGCAGAAAAGCGAGUCUGGUCCGUCCGGAGAGAAGCAGGACAGGGUGAGCAUUUUUCAGGUCUGUAGGUUUACAUGGGUUCUGAUCUGAUGGUUCCAUUUUUUCAUGCUAUUUAUUUUCUUCACUAACAGUUAGUGAUCUGAAUGUUUCGGGAUUCAGCAAAAGGCCUUGGAAUUCCUUAUCUGUAUACUACUCCCUCCAUUCGGAAUUACUUGUCGCGGAAAUGGAUGUAUCUAGACGUAUUUUAGUUCUAGAUACAUCGGUUUCCGAGACGAGUAAUUCCGAACGGAGGGAGUACUUCGUUUUCGUUCGACCCAGCCCUGCUACAACAUAUCAUUGUUAUGUUCUGUUGUGCCAUGGUGAUUUGUGUGUAACUGAAAUUCAGAAUGAACUCAAGUUGGCAUGUGCCAGUGCCUGCGAUAUUCUCAGGUUGCACGUUCUCGAAUGCUGAAUGUUUAGUCUUUUCAGACUCCAGAUUGCCUCCAGUUGAACGAAGUCGAGCUGUCGCCCGUCACCUUGCUGCCGUUCUUCUCCCCUUCCGACCGGCGGUAAUUUACCGAUGCUUCCUGGCUUCAGUUAUCAGUUUAAAUAUGCAAAUAUUCACCUCCUUUCGCAAUUCUGGUCAGUUUAAAUAUGACUGUUGAGGAUCCAUUUAUACUUCUACAUGGUUUUAGAAUAUGGAUAAAAUCACUAUCACAGUAAUGUGAUUUGUUCUGUAGCUUGUGUUUGGCACUUGGAAACAACAUAAUAGAAAUUUGGUUGCUCAGGUAAGGUAAGGGAAAAAAAUUAUUGCCCCAUUGUUUUUCUGUUUGUCUGCUUGUGAUCAUAAUCUUUUUUAAGCCCGUAUAAUUUUAUGUUGUUGUGAAAGUGCUAUACUUUCAAAUGACCCUUCGUUAUUGGAUUAUCCAUUUGUAUUUAACCCUUGCAAGUUUUCAUUCUUUCAUUGCUUCUGAUGUAAUACUAUUUGUGCUAUACUUUCAAUUAACUGUUUUGAAAUUCUAAGCUUUGUAACAUUUGUUCGGAGUUAUCAUGUUGUACCCAUGGCAAGUCGAACAUACAUGGCAUGUUGUGUGUAAGAGAGGAAAUUAGUGUCUUAUAUUUAGAAGAUCAUGGUCCUAAUGUCUGAUCGGUGUUGAGGCUCCUUUGCCAUUAUUAUUUUUCUUAUCCAUUAUACAUUGUUUAACAUUUAUGCUUUUAAAAUGCUGAUGGACAAGAAUAAUCCAGUUGCACAUCCAUUUACGUUAGGGGAUUGUUCCCCAUUUAAGGACGUACCAAACUCAUUUGUAAAUGGAAAUGCAGAAAGUAAUCAUACUCGAAAACCUAAAAAGAAAUGUAGUCAAUCAUGGUAUGCCAGAAUAUCUGAUGAGAGGAAAGCGGAAUUCCUCAAGAAGAGUCGUGUCGCCCGGCAACAAAGAAGGUUGCAGCCCUGGGUAGUGUUAACCAUGCACAGAAAUCAUGUGCACAUGCUUCUUCAAUAGGUCAGAACCCAUCGAUCUCGAGGUUGACCGCGUGGUCGCGCCAGAAUACGAAACUGCUGCCACCGAGAUAAUUUGGCACAGUUGUGUCUGUCUAGAGGACAAAAUUGGCGUGGUGAUCGAGGAGGUCCUUCUUUGACAGGCAAGGCGCUCAUGAACAAUCCACCACUCAUGCCAUUGCGCUUUGCUUCCACUUCCAUUGGUAUUUCUUAAGCGAAAGAAUUGUCUUCCCUAUCUUAAUUUUAUUUCCUUGCUUGUUUUUUGAAUGGUGCAUCAGCUCGGAUAGUUUUUGCACUCAUGUUACCUGUGAUGAUAUUGAGGUUAUGAUAAUUUACAUUUUACCCCCGGCAUAUAUAUGCUUCUAGCUGCAUUGACUUAAUGAUCGAAAGGAAUGAUGUGUAUGAUGUUACAUUUUUCCAUCAAUGGCAUUUAGGGCAUCUACAAUGCCAGCCGCUUAUACACACGCUUACGAGCCAACACCAGCUCAAGAACAACGUGAGUGAUGCCGUGAAGUUAAAUUCCUUGACUCCGUACAUAAAUGCUUAGGUACAUUAAAGAGUUUUUUUCUUUUUGGUUAUAGCUUUUCCAAAACUUCAAGUACAAAUUCUUUUGUAAUAAUAUUUAUUUUACUUUUAUGAUUGGACUAUUUUCUUUGAUAUACGUGAAUUUUCACGUGCACGCUUACUAGUUUCGUCAAAAGUGACACGCAUCCCUUGCCGACCGGGUAGAGGAUCGGCCGUGAUUCCGGACGGCUGCGUCGCGAGUGCUCCUAGUCCACCUCCAGUUGUCGCUGACUGAAAAAAUCCACCCCCUUUUCUCUUCCUCCCACGUCUGGCGCCUCUCUCUCCACCACCGUAUCCUCUUCUCCCCCCUCCUGCCAUCGCGUUGCAAACCCUCGCAAUCAUGGACGGGAGCGGUACCAGCGAUGGCGGGGACGGCGGCGGGUCGCUCCGGCCGAUGGACGCGGAGCAGCUGCGGGAGUGCGGGCACCGGAUGGUGGAUUUCAUCGCCGAUUACUACAAAUCCAUGGAGACAUUUCCCGUCCUCAGCCAAGUCCAGCCAGGAUAUCUAAAGGAACUUCUUCCAGAUUCAGCUCCUAACCAACCUGAUACUUUGGAUGCCCUUUUUGACGAUAUUCGUGAGAAGAUGAUACCUGGAGUAACUCAUUGGCAAAGUCCAAGUUAUUUUGCAUACUAUCCCUCAAAUAGCAGCACUGCUGGAUUCCUGGGGGAGAUGCUUAGUGCUGCCUUUAACAUCGUUGGCUUCAGUUGGAUAACCUCUCCUGCUGCAACUGAGCUAGAGGUUAUAGUCUUAGAUUGGUUUGCAAAAAUGCUUAAGCUUCCAAGCCAAUUUCUGUCAGAUGUGCCUGGUGGAGGAGUAAUCCAGGGUACUGCCAGUGAAGCAGUUCUUGUUGUACUAUUGGCUGCACGAGAUAGAACUUUAAAGAAGCAUGGGAAAAAAUCCCUUGAAAAGUUAGUAGUUUAUGCAUCUGAUCAGACACAUUCUGCUCUGCAAAAGGCAUGCCAGAUUGCAGGAAUUUUCCCAGAGAACUUCAGAGUUGUCAAAGCUGACUGUAGUAAGAACUAUGCUGUUGCACCUGAAGCGGUGACAGAGGCCAUUUCCAUUGACUUGUCAUCUGGCUUGAUACCAUUCUUCAUCUGUGCAACAGUAGGCACAACAUCUUCAUCGGCCGUGGACCCCUUGCCUGAACUAGGAAACAUAGCACAGGGCCAUGACAUGUGGUUCCACAUUGAUGCUGCAUAUGCUGGAAGUGCUUGUAUAUGCCCAGAGUAUCGACAUCAUCUUGAUGGAGUGGAAAAAGCUGAUUCAUUCAAUAUGAAUGCACACAAAUGGUUCCUCACAAACUUCGACUGUUCUUUGCUAUGGGUUAAGGACAGGAGUUAUCUUGUGGAAGCAUUGUCUACAAAUCCAGAGUUUCUUAAGAAUAAGGCUUCCCAAGCAAAUUCUGUUGUUGAUUUCAAGGAUUGGCAAAUUCCACUUGGUCGUCGUUUUAGUGUAUGACAGUCAUCAUAAUUAUGGAAGUGUUGGCUUCUACAAAGAUUGGAUUAUCACCCUUACUGUUCGAGUUACGUAAACCGACAGUUCAGAUUCAAGAUCACAGGAACAGAUCCAACACUACUGAUAUUGUAAGGGAUGUAAAGCAUAUCUUCAUAUGACGGACAAAGGUGUUGUACGCAGCAAAAUAUGCACGAUGGCAUAGCAGAACAAGAAGUUUCAACGCUAACCUAUUACAAGGUGUUUUGGAGCCAAAAAAAGGAUAAAACUGUUUGUCUCACGUACAACAGGUGAUAAGUUAAGCCGGUUCAUAAAUCGUGGCCUGGCUAGCUUGAUGUUUGUGGAUCAUACCUUGCCGGUUCGUCUUCCUCCACCGCCUGGAAAUUGGAUUUGGUCCAAUCAAAGCUAUGUACGGUGAUAAAUUCAGCCUUGUCAUCUAUCAGACCAGACAGGUCAAUCUCAGGGGCAAAGGUGUGCUUACGAUUCGGUGGGAUUAAAUCCAUCACUUUAUAUGCAGGAGUUGCUAGUCUCUUAUUUUCAAUAUCAAAACCCGGCUGAUAUUUGUCAAGUUCGGUCUCAUUGACAAGGAUUGUAGCACACGGGCGAAUUUCCUUCACGCAGGCAGCAAAAUCUUGUUGGUCAAAAGGUGU
Molecule: RNA transcript, 4901 nt
Organism: Triticum aestivum (bread wheat)
Lineage: Eukaryota; Viridiplantae; Streptophyta; Magnoliopsida; Poales; Poaceae
Gene name: tryptophan decarboxylase 2
Exons: 13
Source: RefSeq, a predicted model, not a curated record